UACGAGGGGGGCUAGCGUUGUUCGGAAUUACUGGGCGUAAAGGGCGCGUAGGCGGCGAGAUACGUCAGGUGUGAAAGUCCUGGGCUUAACCGGGGGAUUGCAUUUGAUACGGUUUGGCUAGAGGGCGAGAGAGGGUAGUGGAAUUGUGUGUGUAGAGGUGAAAUUCGUAGAGAUACACAAGAACACCAGUGGCGAAGGCGGCUACCUGGCUCGUACCAGACGCUAAGGCGCGAAAGCGUGGGGAGCAAACAGG
RNAcentral lists this ribosomal RNA (253 nucleotides) under uncultured bacterium. RNAcentral describes it as "partial 16S ribosomal RNA". It matches the Rfam family "Bacterial small subunit ribosomal RNA", at positions 524 to 776 of the family's 1533-position model. The record is from RNAcentral.